GCCGAACAUCUAGCCUACAAAUUUUUAAACGACCCACCACAACCUUUCUUUACCAAUAAAACAUUUCAACAUUCAAGUAAAGGCGAUUAAAAAAAUUCUAAGAGCUUCAACUGCAGUACCGCAAGGGAAAAAUGAAAUAUAAGUGAAAUAAAAUCAAGCACAGAAUAGUAGAGACUUAAACUCGUACCUUUUGCAUCAUGGUCUAGCAAGUCCGUAUCAAGCAAAAUGAGAUUAAAGUUUGAUCCCCCGAAACUAGACGAGCUACUUCAAAACAGCCUAUAGGGCCAACCCGUCUCUGUUGCAAAAGAGUGGGAAGAUUUUCAAGUAGAGGUGACAAGCCAACCGAGUCUAGAGAUAGCUGGUUAUUCAAGAAAAGAAUUUUAGUUCUACCUUAAGCUUCUCCGUGAUACUAAACAAGCCCACAAACUUAAGAGCUAUUCAAAUAAGGCACAGCUUAUUUGAAAAAGGAUACAACCUAAACUUUAGGGUAAGAGCAAAUAAUCUAAUAAAGUAGGCCUAAAAGCAGCCACCUUUCAAAAAGCGUUAAAGCUUCAUUUUCAAAUAGUCAAAUACUAUUCCCCACUACAAACCCAUCCACACUAUUGAAUGACUUCAUAAAUUAUGAAGACCACCAUGCUAGAACUAGUAACAAGAAAAUGACUUUCUCCAAAGUGUGAACAUAAGCCAAAAUGGACAACCCACUGGCAUUUAACGAUAAUGAACUACUUAUAGCAACCCACUAAAAAAACCCUAUACCACCCCCCGUUAACCUUACACAAGUACACUCCUGGAAAGAUUAAAAGGGGGAGAAGGAACUCGGCAAAUUUUAGCCCCGCCUGUUUACCAAAAACAUCGCCUCUUGAAAAAAUGUAAGAGGUCCAGCCUGCCCAGUGAUUUAAUUCAACGGCCGCGUGACUUUAAACGCGCAAAGGUAGCAUAAUCACUUGUUCUUUAAAUGAGGACUCGUAUCAACGGCACCACGAGGGCUAUACUGUCUCCUCCCCCCAAUCAGUGAAACUAAUCUCCCUGUGAAAAAGCAGGAAUAACACUAUAAGACGAGAAGACCCCAUGGAGCUUAAAACACAGCAACAACCAUAGUACCAUUAACCCAUUAAAUUUCAAGCCCUGUCUGCCAGUUUUAGGUUGGGGUGACCGCGGAGCACAACAAAGCCUCCACAGCGAAAAGGGACUACCCCCUUAUCCAAGAGACACCACUCUAAGAAUCAACAAUAUGACGCCCAAUGACCCGAUCAUCGAUCAACGGACCAAGUUACCCUGGGGAUAACAGCGCAAUCUGCUUUAAGAGCCCAUAUCGACAAGUAGGCUUACGACCUCGAUGUUGGAUCAGGGUAUCCCAGUGGUGCAGCCGCUACUAAAGGUUUGUUUGUUCAACAAUUAAA
This 1400-nucleotide ribosomal RNA is filed under the name Occidozyga sp. AJT0249. RNAcentral's name for it is "partial 16S large subunit ribosomal RNA". It matches the Rfam family "Bacterial large subunit ribosomal RNA", at positions 437 to 2592 of the family's 2925-position model. The record is from RNAcentral. Lineage: Eukaryota; Metazoa; Chordata; Amphibia; Anura; Dicroglossidae.